Dipodomys ordii (Ord's kangaroo rat) is the source of this 70-nucleotide non-coding RNA. Lineage: Eukaryota; Metazoa; Chordata; Mammalia; Rodentia; Heteromyidae. The record is from Rfam.
GGGAAUGUGGCUUAGUGGUAAAGUGCUUGCCUAGCAUGCAUGAAGUCCUGGUUUCAAUUCCUCAGUACCA